GCCAGGUCUGGCCCUCGCGGGGUUGCCGGAAGGAGGGUCCGGGCGGGAGAACGUCCGCCCACGCACAGUGUAAACAGUUCCGGUCGCUUGAGGGAUCCCCGCGGCUUGUUUUGGUGACUGCGCGCGGAAGGUGAAUAUGUAAGAAAUGACGAUCCAUUCCUGCGUGGAAGGCCAGCGCUCCAUCUUCACUAACACGAUAUAGUUGAAGAGCAUCAAGUAUCCGAUGUACGCCAGCUGUAAGGAAACACAAUACAGUGUUCUGGCUACGGAGACCCGGGAGCCCGGCCCUUGGGCAAGGCCGCCGCAUGGCAGAACAGAGCAAGGUCAGCAAGCAGGACUCAGAAUUCACAACAGAAUGAACUUCAAGGCUUUAAACUAUUCAAAGAAUUUAAGAAAAUGACUAUAAUAUUUGAAAUAAUGUGAUGUGCUAUCUUCCUUUUGUCCCUUACAUGUGUCCCUGGGUCCAGUACUUUGCCUUUACUUCUGUGCCAUGAUGCAUCCUUUUUGUUUGGCUAUUACUGUUUCUUGUGUCUUUCUGGCUAAAAAGGGGACCUCUUCUCUCGGUGCUACUCUUGUUCAUGCAUAAGCCUCAGGUUCUUUUUUUUUUUCUUUUUAAGUUUAUUUGUUUAUUUUGGGAGAGAGAGAGAAAAUGAGUAGGGGAUGGGCAGAGACAGAAGGAGAGAGAGAAUCCCAAAGAGGGGGGGCUGGAUCCGAGGACUGUGAAAUCACAACCUGAGCUGAAAUCAAGUGUCAGACACUCAACCGACUGAGCCACCCAGGCGCCCGGAGCCUCAGGUUCUUGAACUAGGGCACACGGUGGAUUUGUGCCUACUGAAUGCCAGGUAGGUGAAAUGUCUGUAGGAAGGAAAGGAAGGCACAUACUAUACUUGUAAACUGGUCAAACCAACAUAAAAAUAGACUGAAUUUUA
This is a long non-coding RNA of Prionailurus viverrinus (fishing cat), 929 nucleotides long. RefSeq lists it as uncharacterized. The record is from RefSeq and is a predicted model, not a curated record. Lineage: Eukaryota; Metazoa; Chordata; Mammalia; Carnivora; Felidae. The transcript is spliced from 2 exons.